Long non-coding RNA from Mauremys reevesii (Reeves's turtle), 1169 nucleotides. RefSeq lists it as uncharacterized. The transcript has 6 exons. The record is from RefSeq and is a predicted model, not a curated record. Lineage: Eukaryota; Metazoa; Chordata; Testudines; Geoemydidae.
CUUUCACCUGCUAAAGUGCCAUAAGAAGGGAUGAGUGGAGAGACUGAGUAACAGAGCAGAGUUAAGGGUACUCACCCAAUAAGUGGGACACUGUAUUUUGUAGAAUAUUAGUGAGUCACAUUUAUUCAAAUCAGAUCAGUGUUGAGUCCAGUCAUGAUGGGAUCUCAGACUUAAUGAAAGUGCUUUUUUCCUUGGCCACCAGUUCGGGCAACUGAAUUUGAACCCUGCCGUUGAAUAUUCAUGAGAAAGAGCUGCGUCACCAUUGAGAACACCAACCUUCAACAAUACUUUUCACUUCAGGAGCAGGUAUCUGUGAAGACAGAACUUAUUCUACUGCACCAGAAAUGUUUAUCAAAACCCAGGUUGAUUGCCAAAAUAGUGAGACUGCAAACUGAAAAUCCUGAUCAUCCCUAACAGAGCUAACAUAUGAUACCCAUGUUCAACAUGAAUAUCACCUAGAUGCACUCGUUAUACCCUCAGGAGUAGGUGGUGUAAAAUACUGAACAAAAAGAUGGUCCUUGCCCCAAUGAGCUAACCAUUCAAGUAUAAGACAAGAUACAAUCGAUAGGGGAGUACAAGGAAACAAUGAGGCAUAUUGUUCUCGAGUUUCUCAAAAGUUUCUCCAGCAGCAGCAACUAUCUGUGAUCAUCAUGGUGGUAGUCUUGGGCAGACAGAAUGAAAUUUCAGCUGAAGAGAACUGCAAUAUUCUGACAGAAUAUGGUUUCAUCAACAUUUUCCCCAACCGGCUGUAGCUUUGGGACCUACUUCUCAUGUGCUGUGGUGGAUGUGAUCAAGCCAGUUCAUGUGCUGAGACGGUCUUUCCAACAUCUCUGGGGUUAAUUUUGCAUCAAAGUCAGAAGGGAAUUGCUGUCAUUUCCAGUACAGGGCAGGAAGGAAAAAACCAGCACAGAGCUGCUGUUAAUUCAGUGAAGAAACAUUGCUGGAAUACACAAAAUGGACAGGGCGUAGAAUCUGGUUGCAGAGGACAUUGGGUUAUUUGAGUGGAAGGUACUGGACAUGAAAGAGACUUAAGGCUGCAUUUGUUAUUCUUUUUAAAUCUUUAUGCCUAAAUUAAACAAACCCACUUAACGUACAGAUUGUAACUUCUGGGGGAAUUCUGCGCACAAGAUUUUAAAAUUUCGCAACGUUCUGCAUAUUUUAUUUGUCAA